Molecule: ribosomal RNA, 2889 nt
Filed under: Neisseria gonorrhoeae
Lineage: Bacteria; Pseudomonadati; Pseudomonadota; Betaproteobacteria; Neisseriales; Neisseriaceae
Description: 23S ribosomal RNA
Rfam family: Bacterial large subunit ribosomal RNA
Source: RNAcentral
UCAAGUGAAUAAGUGCAUCAGGCGGAUGCCUUGGCGAUGAUAGGCGACGAAGGACGUGUAAGCCUGCGAAAAGCGCGGGGGAGCUGGCAAUAAAGCUAUGAUUCCGCGAUGUCCGAAUGGGGAAACCCACUGCAUUCUGUGCAGUAUCCUAAGUUGAAUACAUAGGCUUAGAGAAGCGAACCCGGAGAACUGAACCAUCUAAGUACCCGGAGGAAAAGAAAUCAACCGAGAUUCCGCAAGUAGUGGCGAGCGAACGCGGAGGAGUCUGUACGUAAUAACUGUCGAGAUAGAAGAACAAGCUGGGAAGCUUGACCAUAGCGGGUGACAGUCCCGUAUUCGAAAUCUCAACAGCGGUACUAAGCGUACGAAAAGUAGGGCGGGACACGUGAAAUCCUGUCUGAAUAUGGGGGGACCAUCCUCCAAGGCUAAAUACUCAUCAUCGACCGAUAGUGAACCAGUACCGUGAGGGAAAGGCGAAAAGAACCCCGGGAGGGGAGUGAAACAGAACCUGAAACCUGAUGCAUACAAACAGUGGGAGCGCCCUAGUGGUGUGACUGCGUACCUUUUGUAUAAUGGGUCAACGACUUACAUUCAGUAGCGAGCUUAACCGGAUAGGGGAGGCGUAGGGAAACCGAGUCUUAAUAGGGCGAUGAGUUGCUGGGUGUAGACCCGAAACCGAGUGAUCUAUCCAUGGUCAGGUUGAAGGUGCCGUAACAGGUACUGGAGGACCGAACCCACGCAUGUUGCAAAAUGCGGGGAUGAGCUGUGGGUAGGGGUGAAAGGCUAAACAAACUCGGAGAUAGCUGGUUCUCCCCGAAAACUAUUUAGGUAGUGCCUCGAGCAAGACACUGAUGGGGGUAAAGCACUGUUAUGGCUAGGGGGUUAUUGCAACUUACCAACCCAUGGCAAACUCAGAAUACCAUCAAGUGGUUCCUCGGGAGACAGACAGCGGGUGCUAACGUCCGUUGUCAAGAGGGAAACAACCCAGACCGCCGGCUAAGGUCCCAAAUGAUAGAUUAAGUGGUAAACGAAGUGGGAAGGCACAGACAGCCAGGAUGUUGGCUUAGAAGCAGCCAUCAUUUAAAGAAAGCGUAAUAGCUCACUGGUCGAGUCGUCCUGCGCGGAAGAUGUAACGGGGCUCAAAUCUAUAACCGAAGCUGCGGAUGCCGGUUUACCGGCAUGGUAGGGGAGCGUUCUGUAGGCUGAUGAAGGUGCAUUGUAAAGUGUGCUGGAGGUAUCAGAAGUGCGAAUGUUGACAUGAGUAGCGAUAAAGCGGGUGAAAAGCCCGCUCGCCGAAAGCCCAAGGUUUCCUACGCAACGUUCAUCGGCGUAGGGUAAGUCGGCCCCUAAGGCGAGGCAGAAAUGCGUAGUCGAUGGGAAACAGGUUAAUAUUCCUGUACUUGAUUCAAAUGCGAUGUGGGGACGGAGAAGGUUAGGUUGGCAAGCUGUUGGAAUAGCUUGUUUAAGCCGGUAGGUGGAAGACUUAGGCAAAUCCGGGUUUUCUUAACACCGAGAAGUGAUGACGAGUGUCUACGGACACGAAGCAACCGAUACCACGCUUCCAGGAAAAGCCACUAAGCUUCAGUUUGAAUCGAACCGUACCGCAAACCGACACAGGUGGGCAGGAUGAGAAUUCUAAGGCGCUUGAGAGAACUCGGGAGAAGGAACUCGGCAAAUUGAUACCGUAACUUCGGGAGAAGGUAUGCCCUCUAAGGUUAAGGACUUGCUCCGUAAGCCCCGGAGGGUCGCAGAGAAUAGGUGGCUGCGACUGUUUAUUAAAAACACAGCACUCUGCCAACACGAAAGUGGACGUAUAGGGUGUGACGCCUGCCCGGUGCCGGAAGGUUAAUUGAAGAUGUGCAAGCAUCGGAUCGAAGCCCCGGUAAACGGCGGCCGUAACUAUAACGGUCCUAAGGUAGCGAAAUUCCUUGUCGGGUAAGUUCCGACCCGCACGAAUGGCGUAACGAUGGCCACACUGUCUCCUCCCGAGACUCAGCGAAGUUGAAGUGGUUGUGAAGAUGCAAUCUACCCGCUGCUAGACGGAAAGACCCCGUGAACCUUUACUGUAGCUUUGCAUUGGACUUUGAAGUCACUUGUGUAGGAUAGGUGGGAGGCUUGGAAGCAGAGACGCCAGUCUCUGUGGAGUCGUCCUUGAAAUACCACCCUGGUGUCUUUGAGGUUCUAACCCAGACCCGUCAUCCGGGUCGGGGACCGUGCAUGGUAGGCAGUUUGACUGGGGCGGUCUCCUCCCAAAGCGUAACGGAGGAGUUCGAAGGUUACCUAGGUCCGGUCGGAAAUCGGACUGAUAGUGCAAUGGCAAAAGGUAGCUUAACUGCGAGACCGACAAGUCGGGCAGGUGCGAAAGCAGGACAUAGUGAUCCGGUGGUUCUGUAUGGAAGGGCCAUCGCUCAACGGAUAAAAGGUACUCCGGGGAUAACAGGCUGAUUCCGCCCAAGAGUUCAUAUCGACGGCGGAGUUUGGCACCUCGAUGUCGGCUCAUCACAUCCUGGGGCUGUAGUCGGUCCCAAGGGUAUGGCUGUUCGCCAUUUAAAGUGGUACGUGAGCUGGGUUUAAAACGUCGUGAGACAGUUUGGUCCCUAUCUGCAGUGGGCGUUGGAAGUUUGACGGGGGCUGCUCCUAGUACGAGAGGACCGGAGUGGACGAACCUCUGGUGUACCGGUUGUAACGCCAGUUGCAUAGCCGGGUAGCUAAGUUCGGAAGAGAUAAGCGCUGAAAGCAUCUAAGCGCGAAACUCGCCUGAAGAUGAGACUUCCCUUGCGGUUUAACCGCACUAAAGGGUCGUUCGAGACCAGGACGUUGAUAGGUGGGGUGUGGAAGCGCGGUAACGCGUGAAGCUAACCCAUACUAAUUGCCCGUGAGGCUUGACUC